CUUAUCGAUAAGCCAUUGGAGGGCAAGUCUGGUGCCAGCAGCCGCGGUAAUUCCAGCUCCAAUAGCGUAUAUUAACGUUGUUGCAGUUAAAAAGCUCGUAGUUGAAGUGAGGGAGUGUGUGUUCAUGAGAGCUAGUCUCGAGUGUUCACAACCUCCCCCCUCCAAUCGGUGUAGUGGGGUAUUCAGUUAUUUCACUACUCCUUUGGUCGUUUACUGUGAGAAAAUUAGAGUGUUCAAAGCGGGCGUUUGUUUGAAUAGAUUAGCAUGGAAUAAUGAUUGAAGGCUUUCGUGUUCGAUUUGAUUGGUUUGUUCAUGGAAGCAAGGUUAAAAGGAACAGUUGGGGGUAUUCAUAUUCACUAGUUAGAGGUGAAAUUCUCGGAUUUAUGGAAGAUGAACAAGUGCGAAAGCAA
Molecule: ribosomal RNA, 410 nt
Filed under: Blastocystis hominis
Lineage: Eukaryota; Bigyra; Opalinata; Blastocystidae
Description: SSU rRNA
Rfam family: Eukaryotic small subunit ribosomal RNA
Source: RNAcentral